RNAcentral lists this ribosomal RNA (497 nucleotides) under uncultured bacterium. RNAcentral's name for it is "partial 16S ribosomal RNA". It matches the Rfam family "Bacterial small subunit ribosomal RNA", at positions 28 to 507 of the family's 1533-position model. The record is from RNAcentral.
GAUGAACGCUGGCGGCGUGCCUAAUACAUGCAAGUCGAGCGAACAGACGAGGAGCUUGCUCCUCUGACGUUAGCGGCGGACGGGUGAGUAACACGUGGAUAACCUACCUAUAAGACUGGGAUAACCUCGGGAAACCGGAGCUAAUACCGGAUAACAUGCUGAACCGCAUGGUUCAACAGUGAAAGACGGUUUUGCUGUCAAUUAUAGAUGGAUCCGCGUCGCAUUAGCUAGUUGGUAAGGUAACGGCUUACCAAGGCAACGAUGCGUAGCCGACCUGAGAGGGUGAUCGGCCACACUGGAACUGAGACACGGUCCAGACUCCUACGGGAGGCAGCAGUAGGGAAUCUUCCGCAAUGGGCGAAAGCCUGACGGAGCAACGCCGCGUGAGUGAAGAAGGUCUUCGGAUCGUAAAACUCUGUUAUUAGGGAAGAACAAAUGUGUAAGUAACUAUGCACGUCUUGACGGUACCUAAUCAGAAAGCCACGGCUAACUACGUG